Molecule: long non-coding RNA, 359 nt
Organism: Jaculus jaculus (lesser Egyptian jerboa)
Lineage: Eukaryota; Metazoa; Chordata; Mammalia; Rodentia; Dipodidae
Exons: 3
Source: RefSeq, a predicted model, not a curated record
GUGAAGACUUUUUCUGUUCAAGAGAACCAGAGCAACCUGCCAUUCCCAGAGAGAGCGCUUGGAGGAGGAGGUGAUUCUGAAGAUCAACAUGAAACAUUCAUCCCUGAUAGCAGAUGAAACACCUGACAGGUGUUUGGGGAAAGAAAGUGAGGGUGCCAGAAAAGAGAAAACAGAAAAUGGAAGGCAUCCGAGGCUGAUCCUAUCCAAAAAUGAACUCCAGAGGGUCCUAAAGCUGGCAGGGACAUUGCUACGCAGCAUCAACAGCAUGGUCCUUGCUACUGAUGGUCACCAGAAGCAGGAGAUGAAUCCAUGGCACUACUGUACUACUGGUUGGAGGGACAUACGCCCAUCCUCACCAC